This 112-nucleotide non-coding RNA is filed under the name Sporocytophaga myxococcoides. RNAcentral describes it as "SAM-I sequence". It matches the Rfam family "SAM riboswitch aptamer (S box leader)". Rfam says of the family: The SAM riboswitch is found upstream of a number of genes which code for proteins involved in methionine or cysteine biosynthesis in Gram-positive bacteria. The SAM riboswitch acts at the level of transcription termination control. Lineage: Bacteria; Pseudomonadati; Bacteroidota; Cytophagia; Cytophagales; Cytophagaceae. The record is from Rfam by way of RNAcentral.
AACUUAUCCGGAAAGACGGAGGGAUUGGGCCCUUAGAUGUCUUAGCAACCCUUUAAUAGAAGGUGCUAACUCCCACUCUGAGAAUUUUAUUUUCAGCAGAGAAAGAUAAGGU